GUUUUGGUCCUAACUUACUGCUACUUUUAUCAAAUUACACAUGCAAGUAUCCACAUACCGGUGAAAUAUGCCCAAACAUAGUAAAACGGAGCAGGUAUCAGGCACGAAAUUCAGCCCAAAACACCAAGCUAUGCCACACCCACACGGGCCUACAGCAGUGAUAAACAUUAAGCAAUGAGCGAACAAACACACCUUAAAGCUCGACUUAGUUAUGAUUAACAGGACCGGUCAACCUCGUGCCAGCCACCGCGGUUAUACGAGGGGUCCAAAGCAGCAGAUUUCGGCGUAAAUCGUGACUAGAAUUUAUCUUAAAAACUAAAGAAUAAACCAUAACCUAGCCGUAAAACACAGGUUAAAUGAAACCAGCGAUCUUUACAACCAAGAGAGUUUGACUCACGAAAACUAAGAAACAAACUAGGAUUAGAUACCCUACUAUGCUUA
This 441-nucleotide ribosomal RNA is filed under the name Sceloporus olloporus. Its description in RNAcentral is "Sceloporus variabilis olloporus partial small subunit ribosomal RNA". Lineage: Eukaryota; Metazoa; Chordata; Lepidosauria; Squamata; Phrynosomatidae. The record is from RNAcentral.